Molecule: long non-coding RNA, 713 nt
Organism: Oncorhynchus keta (chum salmon)
Lineage: Eukaryota; Metazoa; Chordata; Actinopteri; Salmoniformes; Salmonidae
Exons: 3
Source: RefSeq, a predicted model, not a curated record
GGAAGCUGUGAAAUCAGGGGUUUAACCCGAUACAAACUAGUCUCUCUGGGGAGGAUAUAAAGGUGUUUAACCCGAUACAAACUAGUCUCUCUGGGGAGGAUAUAAAGGUGUUUAACCCGAUACAAACUAGUCUCUCUGGGGAGGAUAUAAAAGGUUAACUUGUGCCUGGGAAGCUGUGAAAUCAGGGGUUUAACCCGAUACAAACUAGUCUCUCUGGGGAGGUUAUAAAGGGGUUUAACCCGAUACAAACUAGUCUCUCUGGGGAGGUUAUAAAGGGGUUUAACCCGAUACAAACUAGUCUCUCUGGGGAGGUUAUAAAGGUGUUUAACCCGAUACAAACUAGUCUCUCUCAGGAGGACAUGAAGGGGUUUAACCCGAUACAAACUAGUCUCUCUGGGGAGGUUAUAAAGGGGUUUAACCCGAUACAAACUAGUCUCUCUCAGGAGGACAUGAAGGGGUUUAACCCGAUACAAACUAGUCUCUCUGGGGAGGUUAUAAAGGGGUUUAACCCGAUACAAACUAGUCUCUCUCAGGAGGACAUGAAGGGGUUUAACCCGAUACAAACUAGUCUCUCUGGGGAGGUUAUAAAGGGGUUUAACCCGAUACAAACUAGUCUCUCUCAGGAGGACAUGAAGGGGUUUAACCCGAUACAAACUAGUCUCUCUGGGGAGGAUAUAAAGGGGUUUAACCCGUCUCUCUGGGGAGGAUAUAAA